RNAcentral lists this unclassified non-coding RNA (117 nucleotides) under Natronorubrum texcoconense. RNAcentral describes it as "HgcC family RNA". Lineage: Archaea; Methanobacteriati; Methanobacteriota; Halobacteria; Halobacteriales; Natrialbaceae. The record is from RNAcentral.
GUCGGCAAUCCCGACAGACGACGCUUGCGGUCUUCGAGUCCUGAAACCUCCGAUGCGAGGCUUCCCUUGUAGGAAGCCCCGCCCUUUAGGGCGGGCGAGGAUGUCACGCACAGUUGC